Molecule: ribosomal RNA, 558 nt
Filed under: Rhodotorula sp.
Lineage: Eukaryota; Fungi; Basidiomycota; Microbotryomycetes; Sporidiobolales; Sporidiobolaceae
Description: partial large subunit ribosomal RNA
Rfam family: Eukaryotic large subunit ribosomal RNA
Source: RNAcentral
UAGUAGCGGCGAGCGAGCGGGAAGAGCUCAAAUUUAUAAUCUGGCACCUUCGGUGUCCGAGUUGUAAUCUCUAGAAGUGUUUUCCGCGUUGGACCGCACACAAGUCUGUUGGAAUACAGCGGCAUAGUGGUGAAACCCCCGUAUAUGGUGCGGACGCCCAGCGCUUUGUGAUACACUUUCAAUGAGUCGAGUUGUUUGGGAAUGCAGCUCAAAUUGGGUGGUAAAUUCCAUCUAAAGCUAAAUAUUGGCGAGAGACCGAUAGCGAACAAGUACCGUGAGGGAAAGAUGAAAAGCACUUUGGAAAGAGAGUUAACAGUACGUGAAAUUGUUGGAAGGGAAACGCUUGAAGUCAGACUUGCUUGCCGGAGCUUGCUUCGGUUUGCAGGCCAGCAUCAGUUUUCCGGGGUGGAUAAUGACGGUUUGAAGGUAGCAGUCUCGGCUGUGUUAUAGCUUUCCGUUGGAUACAUCCUGGGGGACUGAGGAACGCAGCGUGCUUUUUGCGAAAGACUCGUCUUUUUCACGCUUAGGAUGCUGGUGGAAUGGCUUUAAACGACCCGU